AUGGAAAUGUCACUGUUCUUUCUCAUAUUAUAUUUCUGUUUCUCAAGUGUCCAUUCUGAUGCUGGUCUCACCCAGUCAUCAGACCCAGUGGUGGUGAAGCCUGGAGGUUCUCACAGACUCUCAUGUACGGCUUCUGAUUUCUCUAUGAGUAGCUAUUAUAUGGGCUGGAUCAGACAGGCUCCUGGUGGAGGAUUACAGUGGUUGUGCAGGAUAUAUUCAGGGAGCAUACACUAUGCUGAUGUCAUUAAAGGACGAUUCACAAUCUCCACUGACUAUAGUAAGAACAUGUUAUAUCUACAAAUGACCAACAUGAAGACUGAGGACUCUGCCGUGUAUUACUGUGCUAGAGACACACUGAUGAAAAUAAUCCCACGUCUGUUACAAAAAACAAAAUGUAUUCAGUAUGGCUGA
Molecule: non-coding RNA, 411 nt
Organism: Hyla sarda
Lineage: Eukaryota; Metazoa; Chordata; Amphibia; Anura; Hylidae
Source: the annotation of a RefSeq genome assembly